RNAcentral lists this ribosomal RNA (440 nucleotides) under uncultured bacterium. Its description in RNAcentral is "partial 16S ribosomal RNA". It matches the Rfam family "Bacterial small subunit ribosomal RNA", at positions 338 to 795 of the family's 1533-position model. The record is from RNAcentral.
CCUACGGGAGGCAGCAGUGGGGAAUAUUGCACAAUGGGGGAAACCCUGAUGCAGCGACGCCGCGUGAGUGAAGAAGUAAUUCGGUAUGUAAAGCUCUAUCAGCAGGGAAGAAAAUGACGGUACCUGAGUAAGAAGCCCCGGCUAACUACGUGCCAGCAGCCGCGGUAAUACGUAGGGGGCAGGCGUUAUCCGGAUUUACUGGGUGUAAAGGGAGCGUAGACGGCAGUGCAAGUCUGGAGUGAAAGGCGGGGGCUCAACCCCCGGACUGCUCUGGAAACUGUACGGCUGGAGUGCAGGGGAGGUAAGUGGAAUUCCUAGUGUAGCGGUGAAAUGCGUAGAUAUGAGGAGGAACACCAGUGGCGAAGGCGGCUUACUGGACUGUAACUGACGUUGAGGCUCGAAAGCGUGGGGAGCAAACAGGAUUAGAUACCCUAGUAGUC